GAAGACUCAGACGUGGCAAAGGCCUCUCAAGAAACGCUGCUUCGUGUGGCCGAGUUCCUGAAGAGGAGGAAGCUGGUACAGCUGUUGAAGAAGCAGCCGCCGAUGAAUGUCGAGGAGUGCCUGCUGGCAGAGGACAGGAGCCAAGCGGCCGAAC
Long non-coding RNA from Melospiza melodia melodia, 154 nucleotides. RefSeq lists it as uncharacterized. NCBI's taxonomy places the organism in Eukaryota, Metazoa, Chordata, Aves, Passeriformes, Passerellidae. The record is from RefSeq and is a predicted model, not a curated record. The transcript has 3 exons.